This 388-nucleotide unclassified non-coding RNA is filed under the name Hevea brasiliensis (rubber tree). Lineage: Eukaryota; Viridiplantae; Streptophyta; Magnoliopsida; Malpighiales; Euphorbiaceae. The record is from RNAcentral.
GUACAAGUAUACCUUGGCGAUGAUGGGCUAUGCAGAUGAAUAUGAGACAACUGUUCUUGAGUUGACUUACAAUUAUGGUGUGACUGAAUAUUCCAAGGGAAAUGCAUAUGCGCAGGUUGCAAUUGGUACUGAUGAUGUCUACAAAAGUGCUGAGGUUGUCAACUUGGUUACCCAAGAGCUUGGUGGGAAAAUAACUCGACAACCUGGACCACUUCCUGGAAUUAACACUAAAAUUACUUCUUUUCUAGACCCAGAUGGCUGGAAAACGGUCCUGGUUGACAAUGAAGACUUUCUCAAGGAACUGCAGAAGGGAGAUUCUGCUUAAUUUAAGCGGGCUGUAGGUGCACUACUUGUAUGAAAUAAGUUGGUGUUAUUUGUAUCUAAAGCA